RNAcentral lists this ribosomal RNA (467 nucleotides) under uncultured bacterium. RNAcentral describes it as "partial 16S ribosomal RNA". It matches the Rfam family "Bacterial small subunit ribosomal RNA", at positions 28 to 507 of the family's 1533-position model. The record is from RNAcentral.
GAUGAACGCUGGCGGCGUGCUUAACGCAUGCAAGUCGAACGGAAAGGCCUCUGCUUGCAGGGGUACUCGAGUGGCGAACGGGUGAGUAACACGUGGGUGAUCUGCCCUGCACUUCGGGAUAAGCCUGGGAAACUGGGUCUAAUACCGGAUAGGACAAUGGUUUGGAUGCUGUUGUGGAAAGUUUUUCGGUGUGGGAUGAGCUCGCGGCCUAUCAGCUUGUUGGUGGGGUAAUGGCCUACCAAGGCGUCGACGGGUAGCCGGCCUGAGAGGGUGUACGGCCACAUUGGGACUGAGAUACGGGCCACACUCCUACGGGAGGCAGCAGUGGGGAAUAUUGCACAAUGGGCGCAAGCCUGAUGCAGCGACGCCGCGUGGGGGAUGACGGCCUUCGGGUUGUAAACUCCUUUCGCUAGGGACGAAGCGUUUUUGUGACGGUACCUGGAGAAGAAGCACCGGCUAACUACGUG